GUGGGGAAUCUUGCGCAAUGGGCGAAAGCCUGACGCAGCCAUGCCGCGUGAAUGAUGAAGGUCUUAGGAUUGUAAAAUUCUUUCACCGGGGACGAUAAUGACGGUACCCGGAGAAGAAGCCCCGGCUAACUUCGUGCCAGCAGCCGCGGGAAUACGAAGGGGGCUAGCGUUGCUCGGAAUUACUGGGCGUAAAGGGUGCGUAGGCGGACAGUUUAGUCAGAGGUGAAAGCUCAGGGCUCAACCUUGGGAUUGCCUUUGGUACUGGCGGUAUUGAGUACGGGAGGGGUGAGGGGAACUCCGAGUGGAGAGGUGAAAUUGGUAGAUAUUCGGAAGAACACCAGUGGCGAAGGCGACUCACUGGCCCGUUACUGACGCUGAGGCGCGAAAGCGUGGGGAGCAAACAGGAUUAGAAACCCUGGUAGUCC
RNAcentral lists this ribosomal RNA (425 nucleotides) under uncultured bacterium. RNAcentral's name for it is "partial 16S ribosomal RNA". It matches the Rfam family "Bacterial small subunit ribosomal RNA", at positions 354 to 796 of the family's 1533-position model. The record is from RNAcentral.